RNAcentral lists this transfer RNA (71 nucleotides) under Eurypyga helias (sunbittern). Its description in RNAcentral is "tRNA-Asp". Lineage: Eukaryota; Metazoa; Chordata; Aves; Eurypygiformes; Eurypygidae. The record is from RNAcentral.
GAGGUGUUAGUAAACCAAUUACAUAGCCUUGUCAGGACUAAAUCACAGGCAUACCCAUCCUGUACACCUCC